CCCAAAUAAAGGAAACCCCUUGAGUAAAUGAGGGGGAUACAAAAGUUUAUGUGUGGGGGGGGUGCAUUUUCCUGGCAUGGUCCAGGUCCACUUGUAGAAUCUAUGCCACGGUGCAUUGAAGCUGUUCUGGCAGCUCGUGGUGACACAACACCUAUUUAAGACGUUUAUGUAGGCGUUUCCUUUAUUUUGACAAUUACCUGUAUUUGAUCAAAUUUUAACCAGUUAUUUUUUUUUUUUUUAACUAUUGAUCCUCUGCGACUAAAUUAUGUUCUCUGGUGUAUUUUGAACAUUGAGAGCACGCUCCUGUGAUUGGAUAGAUUUUAUUUUUUUAUUUUUUUAAUAACUCAAUAUUUUUUAUUUUUUGCCUCUUGGGCCCAGCCCCCUGACUCACACAAUUAUUUAUUAUGCAGUUUAUUUUAUUAAUCAGUUACACAAUCAAGGCAGGGCCCCCCCCCCCCAGUUACCCACGUGGACGCCCCUGCCUCUUCUUCUUCUCUCCCUCGUCUGAUAAUUAGCAGAGCGGCAGCAGGCUGUCUAAAACUCAUUGACAGCAGGCUCCUGAAUCCUCCUGUCGUUGGCGGUUGCAGUAAAAAAUAUCUCUAUCUAAUAUAUAUAUAUACUGUAUAUAAGUGUCUUGGGGGGGGGCCCCACACGGGCCUGGGCCCAGGGGCUUCAGCCCCGGUAAGCCCCUGCAUUAAUCUGGCCCUGUAUGUAGGGAUUAGGUUGCCAUUUGAGACAAUUGUGUCUGCAAUGUGCAAAGUGUCUUUUUAAUUUCCAUAUUACUGCUUUAAAUUUACUAUAAUACAAACAUCAACAACCUGUUUGAACAUAUUAGCCAUAAGGUCUAAACAACAACAACCUGUUUGAGCCAUAAGGCCUAAAUAAUGUUCCAUAUUUAAAAAUGACUAUUCAUCUCUUUAAAAAAAAAAAUGUUUUCUAAUGUAUUUGACUUUAAUCAACAUUAUAGUUUAAUGCACAUUUUAAGGUUCACUCUUUGUAUAUCUGUCUGGGAUGAGUUGACGAGUCCUUGUCCCAAACGGUCCCUUGUGUACUACUUGAGACCAGGGCCCUAUUUUGGGUUCACUAUAAGGAAUAGGCCAGGGUGCCACUUGGGACUCAUAUUUUAUAAAGAGGUUAGGAACUUAUUACAUGUAUUAAUAUGAAUUGACCCGUCUGUCCCCAACCAACAAUCCUGCGCCUGCUUGUUCAGAAACCAAUCUAUUGAUUACAGUCUAUUGCUCAACACAUGGACGAGACUAAACACUUCUAUUAGCUUCUGACAUCACUUCCCUUUUUUUGGGGGGGGAAAGAGAAAUAACUAUAUUGUUGUGAUGUUUUGGGAGGCGGCAGCACACCGUGUGGUUACUGACUGUUCUACUGAACCCAACAGAACAGUGGCUGUAGGUGUAAUGUAUUAUUCAUAUGGGUUUUUUUUCUUCUAUUUGGCUCCUGUAAAUAUGUGAAGAGUUUGAAUGGCUUAUUAUAACUGGGUGUUUUGAAACGGGUUUAUAUAUCAACUUCUUGAUGUAAAAUAAUAAAACACAUGUUGUUAAACUGGUAUAA
RNAcentral lists this long non-coding RNA (1563 nucleotides) under Salmo salar (Atlantic salmon). RNAcentral describes it as "lncRNA (ENSSSAG00000119072.1)". Lineage: Eukaryota; Metazoa; Chordata; Actinopteri; Salmoniformes; Salmonidae. The record is from RNAcentral.